This 122-nucleotide ribosomal RNA is filed under the name Periophthalmus magnuspinnatus. Lineage: Eukaryota; Metazoa; Chordata; Actinopteri; Gobiiformes; Gobiidae. The record is from RNAcentral.
GUGUGUGGCCAAACCUCAUUGUCAAAGCCUGAUCUAGUCAGAUCUCAGAAGCUAAACAAGGCUGGGCUAGUUUAGUACUUCGAUGGGAGACCAGUGUGUCCUUAGGCAAGGCACUUCACCCA